UGGAAUGGCGAAAAUACAUUA
Caenorhabditis elegans is the source of this 21-nucleotide non-coding RNA. The record is from Ensembl. NCBI's taxonomy places the organism in Eukaryota, Metazoa, Nematoda, Chromadorea, Rhabditida, Rhabditidae.